RNAcentral lists this ribosomal RNA (465 nucleotides) under uncultured bacterium. RNAcentral's name for it is "partial 16S ribosomal RNA". It matches the Rfam family "Bacterial small subunit ribosomal RNA", at positions 338 to 795 of the family's 1533-position model. The record is from RNAcentral.
CCUACGGGUGGCAGCAGUGGGGAAUAUUGCGCAAUGGGCGCAAGCCUGACGCAGCGACGCCGCGUGAGGGAUGAAGGUCUUCGGAUCGUAAACCUCUGUCAGCAGGGAAGAACGGUCACUGUGCUAAUCAGCAGUGAAUUGACGGUACCUGCAAAGGAAGCACCGGCUAACUCCGUGCCAGCAGCCGCGGUAAUACGGAGGGUGCGAGCGUUAAUCGGAAUUACUGGGCGUAAAGCGCUCGUAGGCGGUAUGUCAAGUCAAGGGUGAAAUCCCCGCGCUCAACGUGGGAACUGCCUUUGAAACUGGCAAACUGGAGUGUGGGAGAGGAUAGUGGAAUUCCAGGUGUAGGAGUGAAAUGCGUAGAUAUCUGGAGGAACAUCAGUGGCGAAGGCGACUAUCUGGCACAUAACUGACGCUGAGGAGCGAAAGCGUGGGUAGCAAACAGGAUUAGAUACCCCAGUAGUC